AGUGAACGCUGGCGGUAGGCCUAACACAUGCAAGUCGAACGGAAGCACAGUAAGAGCUUGCUCUUACGGGUGGCGAGUGGCGGACGGGAGAGGAAUACAUCGGAAUCUACUUUUUCGUGGGGGAUAACGUAGGGAAACUUACGCUAAUACCGCAUACGACCUACGGGUGAAAGCAGGGGAUCUUCGGACCUUGCGGGAUUGAAUGAGCCGAUGUCGGAUUAGCUAGUUGGCGGGGUAAAGGCCCACCAAGGCGACGAUCCGUAGCUGGUCUGAGAGGAUGGUCAGCCACACUGGAACUGAGACACGGUCCAGACUCCUACGGGAGGCAGCAGUGGGGAAUAUUGGACAAUGGGCGCAAGCCUGAUCCAGCCAUACCGCGUGGGUGAAGAAGGCCUUCGGGUUGUAAAGCCCUUUUGUUGGGAAAGAAAAGCAGCAGGUUAAUACCCCGCUGUUCUGACGGUACCCAAAGAAUAAGCACCGGCUAACUUCGUG
RNAcentral lists this ribosomal RNA (492 nucleotides) under uncultured bacterium. RNAcentral's name for it is "partial 16S ribosomal RNA". It matches the Rfam family "Bacterial small subunit ribosomal RNA", at positions 29 to 507 of the family's 1533-position model. The record is from RNAcentral.